GAUAUGGGUCCUAUCUUUGUAUUCAUUAUACUUUGAGAGGGAAUGAACAUAGAAUUUCUAAUUUCUAGACAUGGCUUUCUUACCCACAAGUUCUCAAUUAUUUGUAUAAGUGUAAUUACUGUAUUAGCUGGAAUAUUUAUUUUCACUUUUUUUUUUCUCCUUUGUAAUUCUUAGCUUGGUGUAAAAAUUGCCAAAGCAGUUGCCUGCCACAACUUUGUAAAAGCCAAAAAGGAGGUUGAAAAUUCACAGGCUGCCCGAAAAAAGAAGAAACUUGCAUGGGGGUUUGAAGCAAAGAAGAGAUGGGAAACCAAAAGCAACAUGGGAUACAUGUAACUUGCCAGAGUGCUUCAAGACAUUUGUAGACUCAAAUGCUCAAUUUACUGAGAAUGUUUUCCUGCCUAUGUUAAUAUGUCAGAAAAUUGAUAGCACUAAAACAAAAAUAAGCAUAAAAUUUGGGAUUUUGAUUAUCAGCUCUUUUCAGUCUUUCUUUAAGGACUUUGUCCUAUUGAAGUCAAUAAAAUGAAGCAUUCUGUUAUUUGUAUAAGAAAUGUAAGAAAAAAAUAUAGAAAGAAGAGGAUAGGAUUUUGUUUAUUUGUAUGGAUGGACCCUCGGUAUAAAAUCACUUUUGGUGCUUUCCAUUCAUUUGGUUUAGCACAGCCAGUGAGCUUCUCGUACUUUCUUUUUUUUUUUUUUUUUUUUUUUUUUGAGACAGAGCCUCGCUUGCUCUGUCACCCAGGCUAGAGUGCAGUAGCACGAUCUUGGCUCACUGCAACCACUGCU
RNAcentral lists this small RNA (780 nucleotides) under Pan troglodytes (chimpanzee). Its description in RNAcentral is "retained intron". The record is from RNAcentral. Lineage: Eukaryota; Metazoa; Chordata; Mammalia; Primates; Hominidae.